Non-coding RNA from Paramuricea clavata, 535 nucleotides. NCBI's taxonomy places the organism in Eukaryota, Metazoa, Cnidaria, Anthozoa, Malacalcyonacea, Plexauridae. The record is from the annotation of a GenBank genome assembly.
GAAUGGAACAAGCUUUUGUUGGUGGGGAUGCAACUACUCGAAAAGAGUCUGAAAAUAUAUAAGGAGAUAAACCAUGUCAGAAUAUUUAUAAUCAUAAUCACAAGAAUUACUGUAAUUUCUGUAAUGACACCAUUACUGUAGUUAUUUACUGCAAAUUUUAUAAGAAUGAAGGACGCUCAUGCAGGUAUAUUUUUUGUCAUAUAUAUUUUUUGGUAUACACAUCCAGUGUAGUUGUAAGAUCAGUGAAAAAAUGGGGCUGCAAAUUAAGGGUGUUUGCGGGCUGGAUAUAAAUUGAGGCUAAAUUCAAGAUGGCGGAAAAUUUGGGAGAAGAAAACAUAAGUGAAAAUGCUUUGCCAAAAGAAACGUUUUCAUUCGGCCAAAUUAAAACUAGUGCAUUAGAUGAAGACGAAGACGAAGAUGAGGUCUGUGAAUUCUCUUUACAUCCUACAUGUUUUUCAGUACGCCAAUUCAACAGCACAAUUAAAAGUGUUUAAUAGUGUUAUAAAAAUAAUUAAAAAUUAAAUAUUCCAACUUG